GACGAACGCUGGCGGCGUGCUUAACACAUGCAAGUCGAACGGGCCUUGUCCCCUUUUUUUUGGGGGUGGGGUUAGUGGCGAACGGGUGAGUAACACGUGAGUAACCUGCCCCUCACUUCUGGAUAACCGCUUGAAAGGGUGGCUAAUACGGGGUGUUCUGGCCUGCUCGCAUGGGUGGGUUUGGAAAGAUUCGACCGGUUUUGGUUGUUUUGGUGGGGGAUGGGCUCGCGGCCUAUCAGCUUGUUGGUGGGGUGAUGGCCUGCCAAGGCUUUGACGGGUAGCCGGCCUGAGAGGGUGGGCGGUCACACUGGGACUGAGACACGGCCCAGACUCCUACGGGAGGCAGCAGUGGGGAAUAGUGCACAAUGGGCGCAAGCCUGAUGCAGCGACGCCGCGUGAGGGAUGGAGGCCUUCGGGUUGGGAACCUCUUUCGCCAGUGAAGAAGGUCCUGCUCUUUGUGGUGGGGUUGACGGUAGCUGGGUUAAUGAAGCGCCGGCUAACUACGUG
Molecule: ribosomal RNA, 507 nt
Filed under: uncultured bacterium
Lineage: Bacteria
Description: partial 16S ribosomal RNA
Rfam family: Bacterial small subunit ribosomal RNA
Source: RNAcentral